AGAACUGCCGCUGCCCGUGUGCAUGUGCCACAACUUGUUUUAUAAUCUAUUCCGUACUUCGUCUCGACCAUCCCACUUCGGGCAGAUGUUCCACGUCAAUUCGUAAAUAACCGAACGAGUCAAAUAAGCAAAUAUGGUACAUGCCCGCAGCAAAAUCCUUAAAAAUAUGUUUAUAUAUUUCAUAGAAGUGGUUAGAAUUUAAUUAAAUAAAUAUUAAAAGCUAACACUGUGUGGGUAUAUAUUUCAAAUUAGUUAAGAAUUGUAUUGCAAACUUGUUAAUCUAAAAUUGUUGUAAGAUUUAUGAGGGUGGAACGGGUUGGGUGUGAAAAUAAUGCGAUCGAAUCUGAUGAUACUGAUUAUGCAGGAGUCUCGGGGACCUUGAUUGGAACACCUCCAAGUAAUUUUAGCUGCCGGAAAUGCGUCAAAGUAUUUUAAAAAAAAAUUUAAAGUUUUGUGAAAUGUAUUGAAAUUUGUAAACAAUCCACCAUUAUCUACUUUUCUAUUGGUUAUAAUAGAUGUGUCAUUCUCGUUUUCUGUUGGUUAUAAGUGAUGUGACAUUCUCGGUAAAUUAAUCGGAUCGAUUAUUUUCUCAUUUGUUAAUUUUAUAGUUGAACCUAAUUUAAUCAUUACUUGUCAAAUGUACAUACAUUACAUUAACUUCAUGUUUCAAUUAGUGUAUGGUUCCGAAAAUUUUGAAAUUAUUCAAAAAGUACCCAAAACCGAAUCAGAGCACCCCACUAUUCACGUGGUCUUGUCUGCCUUACCCCUAGAGUGUAUAUAAAUAAUCGGAGGCGCGGAGGAAGAGUAAGAGGCAAUGGAUGACGAGAUUCCUUAAGUUAUCCCUAAUAAAAUAUAAAAAAAUUGAGCUUUAUACUUUAACGAAUUUAAGGUACUAUUUUAUACACCUUUACUACCUGUUAUCUGCCAAAGUAACCCCUACCCAAACUCUAUAGUCCCUGGUCGUUCUUACCUGUAUAGGGGACACGCACAGAAGAACUUUCAGCUUUUAUAAAAUGACGAAGGUCUGGCAGUCCUGGGCUCUUGGGAUAUAUUCGAUUUCAACACAAAAGCUGUCAGUCUAAAAAAAAAUGAUGGAGCGAAACGACAUUAGGAUUCGGCAAAAGACAGCUUCGUUGAUGAUGCAUUAUUGAUUUUCAAGUAUCAUUCUAAAUCGUCCAAUUACCUCGACGACAUGAAUUUAUCAAACUUCUUCAAGUCGAUGUCCGAAAAAGUUAUACUGAAUUUAUCAGGGAAAUCUCUUGUGGCAAUGGAUAAUAAUGCUCCUUACUUCUGCACUCAAACUAUAACUCCAACUUUGAGCAGCUUAAAAGCAGACAUACAGGAGUUGUUACGAAAAAAUGGGUUUAUUUUACUAUUGGACAAAUGCAAUGCAAUGCUCCAGUAAAAUAUAGGGCCAUCAAUAUACACCGUAGAUGAAAUUUAUAAUGUCACUUUAAAAUUAAAAUCACAUCGUUCUUUGAUAGCUCAAACGGAUAUACAAUUAGUAAGGUUAACCACACGGAUCCUAUUCUUACGACGUGUUCGUACUUUAAAUUAGUUCAAAAAUCAGGAACGUGUUUAGUGAUAUACAAUAGCAAAAAAACUGUAUUUGGCGUGUUUUUGAAAUUUCCCCUAAAAAACCCCAAUUCUGCCCCUAACUCGGUCGAGAAACCCCUAAAUCUAGGGGGAAAUCCUCUGAUAUGGCAACACUUAAUCAAAGUAGCCUAGGGGUACGUCGCCGACUCCAUCUGGCAACACUGGUUCGGUGUUAUUACUUAAACUGUCUUAUAGUUUAUGCAGUCUUCCACCUUGCUUAUGAUUUCAAUACUAAAAUACAAAUUUUAAAUUUUUAAUAGAAAAGUCAUGGCUCGGCGAUAUUUGUUAUGGUUUGCGCAGGAGCAUUUGGACUUUCGGCAUGCGGAAAUGCAUAGCAUUAUUUCUAUGCUAAAUAUACCAAUAAAAUUUAUUGAAAAUCCAUCAAUUAAUCUCCCCUAUUGGAUAGUGGAACUCCCUUCCGAACUUUGUGCUAAGCAGAUAGCGUCAAGAUCUGUAUUAUUGAAAAAUUGUCUAGAAUUGUGGUCCAGGGCUAAGAGCGAAGCUAAGUUACACGAAAACUUAAAAAGUGCUGUAAAAAAUAAGUCUGGAAAAUGGAUAAUUCCAAAUAAUAAUAUGGAAAUAAGUGAAUCACAUAUUUGCCCAAGUGAACUUCUAGAUGCUGUUAGUGAUCCAAAUAAAUCCUUCAAAGUGGAAGUCGAAACAUUCUGCAAGCAUUUUACUAUGAAGCAGAAAGUUGAAAAGAUUGAGAAUUUCAGUUAUUUACCUUUAGGAGGUGCAGUAAACCUAAACAAACCAGAUGUAACAUUUUCUUAUAUUGAGUUUUAUGGAGUAGAUCCUAAUAAUGUUCCGCAACAACCGUGUGACUUAUUUUUUGGGAAAUGGAUAGCAGAUGGUCAAAGAGAUCUUAUAAAAGUCCACACUCUUAAAAAACGUGAAUUCAUUGGAAAUACAAGUAUGGAUGCUCAACUGGCAAUUAUAAUGGCGAAUCAGGCACAAAUAGCACCCGGUGAUGUGGUUUUAGAUCCAUUCGUAGGAUCUGGCUCUUUGUUGGUUUCAGCAGCACAUUUUGGUGGUUACAUAUGGGGAGCUGAUAUAGAUUUCAUGAUGUUACAUGCUCGAACCCGGCCCACUAGGGUAGGGCAAAAGGUACGAAACAAGGAGGAAAGUAUAAGGGGAAACCUGAGACAGUAUGGUAUCGGGUCUCAGUACUUAGAUGUGCUGGUCAGUGAUUUUUCACUACCGUUGUGGCGACAGGACAUAAAGUUUGAUGCCUUAAUAACUGAUCCUCCGUAUGGUGUCAGGGAGCCAGCAGAGAAGAUCGGUAUUGAGAGAGACAACUAUACUUUAUCUGAGCAACAUUUAGACAACCACAUACCAUCUAAAGUUGAAUAUGGCCUGCCGCACAUCUACAGUGACCUCUUGAACUUUGCCGCUCAACACUUGAAUAUUGGGAGAAGACUCGUUUGCUGGUAUCCUCUUAGACGAAUAUUUAGAAGAACAGCUCCCGUCCCAUCCUUGUAUGCAGUUGGUGGGCAAUAGUGAGCAAGUCCUGUCCAAGAUGACGGCCAGGCGACUGCUCACGUACCAGAAGAUCAGCGACGAUAUCCCCAACAUGCCCCACGACCCACACGGGGCUGCCCAUAACUUCAGGGACAAGUACUUUGCUGUAGGAGAAAUAUCGAGACGAGAAAAAAAAGAGAGACGAGCUGAGGAAAUAGCAAAAACUGCCUCCUACUUGGCAAAACGGGAAGAAUGUAACAAGGAAUAAAUUUUGUUACUGCUGUA
Molecule: RNA transcript, 3342 nt
Organism: Pieris napi
Lineage: Eukaryota; Metazoa; Arthropoda; Insecta; Lepidoptera; Pieridae
Gene name: tRNA (guanine(10)-N2)-methyltransferase homolog
Exons: 8
Source: RefSeq, a predicted model, not a curated record